AUGCAGUCGAGCGGACCGACGGGAGCUUGCUCCCUUAGGUCAGCGGCGGACGGGUGAGUAACACGUGGGUAACCUGCCUGUAAGACUGGGAUAACUCCGGGAAACCGGGGCUAAUACCGGAUGCUUGAUUGAACCGCAUGGUUCAAUCAUAAAAGGCGGCUUCGGCUGCCGUUUACAGAUGGACCCGCGGCGCAUUAGCUAGUUGGUGAGGUAACGGCUCACCAAGGCGACGAUGCGUAGCCGACCUGAGAGGGUGAUCGGCCACACUGGGACUGAGACACGGCCCAGACUCCUACGGGAGGCAGCAGUAGGGAAUCUUCCGCAAUGGACGAAAGUCUGACGGAGCAACGCCGCGUGAGUGAUGAAGGUUUUCGGAUCGUAAAGCUCUGUUGUUAGGGAAGAACAAGUACCGUUCGAAUAGGGCGGUACCUUGACGGUACCUAACCAGAAAGCCACGGCUAACUACGUGCCAGCAGCCGCGGUAAUACGUAGGUGGCAAGCGUUGUCCGGAAUUAUUGGGCGUAAAGCGCGCGCAGGCGGUUUCUUAAGUCUGAUGUGAAAGCCCCCGGCUCAACCGGGGAGGGUCAUUGGAAACUGGGGAACUUGAGUGCAGAAGAGGAGAGUGGAAUUCCACGUGUAGCGGUGAAAUGCGUAGAGAUGUGGAGGAACACCAGUGGCGAAGGCGACUCUCUGGUCUGUAACUGACGCUGAGGCGCGAAAGCGUGGGGAGCGAACAGGAUUAGAUACCCUGGUAGUCCACGCCGUAAACGAUGAGUGCUAAGUGUUAGAGGGUUUCCGCCCUUUAGUGCUGCAGCAAACGCAUUAAGCACUCCGCCUGGGGAGUACGGUCGCAAGACUGAAACUCAAAGGAAUUGACGGGGGCCCGCACAAGCGGUGGAGCAUGUGGUUUAAUUCGAAGCAACGCGAAGAACCUUACCAGGUCUUGACAUCCUCUGACACCCCUAGAGAUAGGGCUUCCUCUUCGGGGGCAGAGUGACAGGUGGUGCAUGGUUGUCGUCAGCUCGUGUCGUGAGAAUGUUGGGUUAAGUCCCGCAACGAGCGCAACCCUUGAUCUUAGUGCCAGCAUUCAGUGGGCACUCUAAGUGACUGCCGUGACAACCGGAGAGGUGGGGAUGACGUCAAUCAUCAUGCCCUAUGACUG
Molecule: ribosomal RNA, 1162 nt
Filed under: Bacillaceae bacterium Bac74R
Lineage: Bacteria; Bacillati; Bacillota; Bacilli; Caryophanales; Bacillaceae
Description: bacterial SSU rRNA
Rfam family: Bacterial small subunit ribosomal RNA
Source: RNAcentral